Long non-coding RNA from Hibiscus syriacus, 348 nucleotides. RefSeq lists it as uncharacterized. The transcript is spliced from 4 exons. The record is from RefSeq and is a predicted model, not a curated record. Lineage: Eukaryota; Viridiplantae; Streptophyta; Magnoliopsida; Malvales; Malvaceae.
GAACAAUAUGUGUAUGACUACUACACUGUGAAGGAUGACUCUGAUGUAGACGAGGAUAUGGCCUCAAAUCCAUUACCACUGGUGCAGGUGGAUGAUGAGGAUUUCUAUGAUGUGCCAUAUGAGUCGGAAUAUGAUAGUGAAGAUUCAAAUGGUAACAUUUAGAGUCUAGUCUCUGUCACCAAAUUCUGGGGAUGUUGGUAUGACUUGUAUAUUCUUUUUGGUGUUUGCAGCUGAAGAUAAUCCAAGAAAUGAUUAUCCCGAUGAAACAUCCGAUGAGGAUGAAGAGGAGGAGGAAGAGGAUGAAGAUGAAGAUGAAGAUGAGGAGAAGAUGAAGAGGAAGAUGAAGAA